Molecule: long non-coding RNA, 789 nt
Organism: Macrosteles quadrilineatus (aster leafhopper)
Lineage: Eukaryota; Metazoa; Arthropoda; Insecta; Hemiptera; Cicadellidae
Exons: 3
Source: RefSeq, a predicted model, not a curated record
CGCCGAUGGAGCCGCUAACUUCACGACACGACGGUCCAACUCCAAGUCUCCAACCAACCCAACAGCAAAUGGGAAAGUGGCAACUGGUCUGGCAACCACCUACCUAUUUAUUUAAAUUCUGAUAUUAGAUGCAUGGGAGGAAGAAUUUUGAUUUGCUUCUAGGAGGAUAAUUAAUUUGUCUUGUACAACCGUGGCCUAGAGUGGAUAAUACCAUUAAUCAAUUACCUAAAUACUUUUGCCAUGGAUUUUAGUGACGAACAAACAAAACAGCGGGCGCUACGUGUGUUGGCAGUGGUAAUUGUGAUUAUAAUUAUUACGCUUAUAAUCUCAUUCAUAUUUGGUAGUUUGAUACCAUCUCUCAUUGGAACAAUAUUGGUAGUCUGCGCCAUUGCAUAUGUGGCUCAUAGAAUUUAUGUCAACAAAAGACAAUCGAUGAGUCCAGAUGUGGAGGCUGGAAGAACAUAAUCACCAUAUUGACUUGAUAUGUUACUUGCCUGAGACUGGGAUGGAUAUAAUAGUACAACUAACUUAUUGCUUUCAAUUAUUAAUUAUUAGCCUAAGCUUUAUGACCAUAAUGUGAUUCAGAGGCCUAGUGAUUUUUCUAUUUUACUAUUUAAAUAAAAGCAAAUAGAAAUAUUUAAUAAAUUUAUAUUCCAAAGAUGUUUAUAUUUUGAUAACUAUUUAUUUACUCUGUCAUAUGAAAUAUAGUAGAACCCCUGUUAACCAAAUUCAGGGUAACCGAAAUGCUUUCAUAAAAAAUUAAUACAGGGCUGUAAAAUGCUUAAGUAA